RNAcentral lists this transfer RNA (63 nucleotides) under Ictidomys tridecemlineatus (thirteen-lined ground squirrel). RNAcentral's name for it is "Spermophilus tridecemlineatus (thirteen-lined ground squirrel) tRNA". It matches the Rfam family "tRNA", at positions 5 to 66 of the family's 71-position model. From Rfam's summary of the family: Transfer RNA (tRNA) molecules are approximately 80 nucleotides in length. The record is from Rfam by way of RNAcentral. Lineage: Eukaryota; Metazoa; Chordata; Mammalia; Rodentia; Sciuridae.
AUGUGGCUAAGUGGUAGAGCACUUGUCUGGCAUAUGCAAGACUUUGGGUUCAAUUCCCAACAU